Molecule: ribosomal RNA, 253 nt
Filed under: uncultured bacterium
Lineage: Bacteria
Description: partial 16S ribosomal RNA
Rfam family: Bacterial small subunit ribosomal RNA
Source: RNAcentral
UACGUAGGUCGCAAGCGUUGUCCGGAUUUACUGGGCGUAAAGAGCGCGCAGGCGGCUGGUCAAGUCCGAUGUGAAAUCUCCCGGCUCAACUGGGAAACUGCAUCGGAAACUGAUCGGCUUGAAGGUGGGAGAGGGUAGUGGAAUUCCCGGUGUAGUGGUGAAAUGCGUAGAUAUCGGGAGGAACACCAGUGGCGAAGGCAGCUCGCUGGGACGUGACUGACGCUGAGACGCGAAAGCGUGGGGAGCAAACAGG